AGCGAACGCUGGCGGCAGGCCUAACACAUGCAAGUCGAACGAACCUUUCGGGGUUAGUGGCGGACGGGGGUGUAACACGUGGGAACGUGCCCUUAGGUUCGGAAUAACUCAGGGAAACUUGUGCCAAUACCGAAUGUGCCCUUCGGGGGAAAGAUUAAUCGCCUUUAGAGCGGCCCGCGUCUGAUUAGCUAGUUGGUUGAGGUAAUGGCUCACCAAGGCGACGAUCAGUAGCUGGUCUGAGAGGAUGAUCAGCCACAUUGGGACUGAGACACGGCCCGAACUCCUACGGGAAGCAGCAGUGGGGAAUCGUGCGCAAUGGGCGAAAGUCUGACGCAGCCAUGCCGCGUGAAUGAUGAAGGUCUUAGGAUUGUAAAAUUCUUUCACCGGGGACGAUAAUGACGGUACCCGGAGAAGAAGCCCCGGCUAACUUCGUG
RNAcentral lists this ribosomal RNA (434 nucleotides) under uncultured bacterium. Its description in RNAcentral is "partial 16S ribosomal RNA". It matches the Rfam family "Bacterial small subunit ribosomal RNA", at positions 29 to 507 of the family's 1533-position model. The record is from RNAcentral.